CUACCUACACAAAAAACACCCGAAAAACCUGAAUCUCUCAAGGAUAAAUCACCAGCUACACAAAAAACACCUGAAAUUAUUGAAAGUUUGAAGG
Molecule: long non-coding RNA, 94 nt
Organism: Trichogramma pretiosum
Lineage: Eukaryota; Metazoa; Arthropoda; Insecta; Hymenoptera; Trichogrammatidae
Exons: 2
Source: RefSeq, a predicted model, not a curated record